Long non-coding RNA from Vidua chalybeata, 638 nucleotides. RefSeq lists it as uncharacterized. NCBI's taxonomy places the organism in Eukaryota, Metazoa, Chordata, Aves, Passeriformes, Viduidae. The record is from RefSeq and is a predicted model, not a curated record. The transcript has 3 exons.
CUGUAACUCGUCCAGCCUCAUACAGUUUUUAACACCUUAAUAAGGAACAUUACCACAACAUUCCUGUGCUAAGCAGAAGUUGAAGAAUUCCAUGAGGAAUACAUCACGUGUUGUGUGAGGCCUAAUUUAACUUUUCACAUGCCUUUCAAAUUUUCAAAGUACAAGGAUGCUAAUGUCGGACUGGGUCUGAUUUUAUUUCAUGAAGUCUCACAGUCACAAACUCACCAUGGAAUUGAAUAGAAAAAUCUUGCAAAAGAUGAAAAACUGUGUGAAGUCCAGAUAAACGAUUUCUGGCCAGAGGGCACAGAAGACUUUCAGUUCAGCGAAAAGCAAAAGAGCUGCUAAGCUGUGUGAAUCUAAACAUGAAGCUUUGGGACAUUACAGAGUCUUGAUGCUCCCGCUUUCACCAGGCUGGAGGGAGGCUGUCACACUGCCUGCUCCCUGGCACAAGGAUAUCUUGACAAGACAAGCUCUGCUUGUGGUAACAGCGAGAAACCCCCAGGGGCAGGAAAUCUGUGUAACAGCCCAGCCCUUAAAGAGUGAAUCACCCAGGUGAAAAUAUUGUCUGAAAAAAAAGACAGACAGAAGAGACCUGACUUCUACCAUUGGAUUAUGAAGACAUCUGAAAUAAGAAUUUU